CAUAGUCUUAGGGUUUGUGCGUUGGUUCAGAGCAUUUGGGUAUUUGGGGAGCAGCAACGGUGAAGGGUAGGCAAGGCGAGCGCGUGAGACUCUAUGUCCGCGGUACAAUCCUUGGAUACAAAAGGUCGAAGUCGAACCAGUAUCCAAACACGUCGCUGGUUCAGGUAGAGGGCGUGAACACUCAGGAGGAAGUGGCGUGGUAUCUCGGGAAGAAAUUGGCCUACAUUUACAAUGCCAAAGUUAAGAAGAACGGCUCUCACUAUCGCUGCAUUUGGGGCAAGGUCGCGCGUCCCCACGGCAACAGCGGCGUCGUUCGCGCCAAAUUCGAGUCCAAUCUCCCUCCCAAAUCCAUGGAAAAAUCAGCACCCAAAAUCGGAAUGCUAAAUGUUGAUUCUCUGCCUCUGGACGCAUUGUUGGAUCAUCUACCUUCGUCACAUUAAUACGAGUAUGGAUUUUGUGCGCCAAUAAUCGUGUAUUGUCGGCGGUGUAGCAAUCUUUUUUCUCUCAAUAAUGGAAGAAGGUAAUUCAGAGUUUGCCGGGCACCGGUGGUGAGCAGAUAAAUAGCCUAAUUGACUCGAUGCAGUGGAGAGACAUUCACCAUGGAAUGAACAUCUAUACAUAAUGUACAUUUUGUAUAGUAUAAUGCGUAGUUUAGUUUCUGUAAUGUAUUAUUUGUGAUAUGUAAUGAACAUUUAUC
This is a long non-coding RNA of Salvia splendens (bonfire salvia), 697 nucleotides long. RefSeq lists it as uncharacterized. NCBI's taxonomy places the organism in Eukaryota, Viridiplantae, Streptophyta, Magnoliopsida, Lamiales, Lamiaceae. The transcript is spliced from 3 exons. The record is from RefSeq and is a predicted model, not a curated record.